CCUGGCACCCUGGCAUGAGCCUAUAGUCUCAGCUAGUCAGAAGGCUGAGGCGGGAGGGUGUCUUGAGCCCAGGAGUUCUGGGCUGCAGUCCGCUAUGCCAACUGGGUGUCUGCUCUAAGUUCGGCAUCAAUAUGGUGACCUCCUGGGUAUAGGGGACCAUCAGGUUGCCUAAGGGAGGAGUGAACUGGCCCAGGUCAGAAAUAGAGCAGGUCAGGACUCCCGUGCUGAUCAGUAACAGGAUCAAGAUUGUGAAUAGCCACUGCACUCCAGCCUGAGCAACAUAGCAAGACCCUGUCUAAG
This is a non-coding RNA of Nomascus leucogenys (northern white-cheeked gibbon), 300 nucleotides long. It matches the Rfam family "Metazoan signal recognition particle RNA". From Rfam's summary of the family: The signal recognition particle (SRP) is a universally conserved ribonucleoprotein. It is involved in the co-translational targeting of proteins to membranes. The eukaryotic SRP consists of a 300-nucleotide 7S RNA and six proteins: SRPs 72, 68, 54, 19, 14, and 9. Lineage: Eukaryota; Metazoa; Chordata; Mammalia; Primates; Hylobatidae. The record is from Rfam.